This 301-nucleotide ribosomal RNA is filed under the name uncultured bacterium. RNAcentral describes it as "partial 16S ribosomal RNA". It matches the Rfam family "Bacterial small subunit ribosomal RNA", at positions 509 to 807 of the family's 1533-position model. The record is from RNAcentral.
CAGUAGCCGCGGGAAUACGUAGGGUGCGAGCGUUAAUCGGAAUUACUGGGCGUAAAGCGUGCGCAGGCGGCUAUGCAAGACAGAUGUGAAAUCCCCGGGCUCAACCUGGGAACUGCAUUUGUGACUGCAUGGCUUGAGUACGGUAGAGGGGGAUGGAAUUCCGCGUGUAGCAGUGAAAUGCGUAGAUAUGCGGAGGAACACCGAUGGCGAAGGCAAUCCCCUGGACCUGUACUGACGCUCAUGCACGAAAGCGUGGGGAGCAAACAGGAUUAGAUACCCUCGUAGUCCCUGUCUCUUAUAC